CGCGAAACCAGUCGAGCUACUGUUAUGCAUAUGUUAGUAUGGAGUAUGUGGCACAAUAAUCAAAGACGGAGCAGUAGGAGUGAUAGGCUAUCAAGUCUGGUGAUAUCUCGUUACCUUCGAACUGUAUUUAGUACAAUGUCAAUUCACUGGUGAUAAGGCCGGUGAAGGAUAUGUAUUUUGGUAAUUUCGAUUUGCAUAGUUUAACCACUAGUAACUUAACAUAAUAAUAUUAAAAUUGUAAGAUAAUAAAUGAUAGAAGGUACUAACUAAUUUCAUUGUUUAUUAAUAUUGUGUGUAUUAGUAAUUAAGGUAUCGUUGAUGAACUCGGCAAGAUUUCUUUCACCUGUUUAUCAAAAACACCGCUACUAGGAAACACUAGUGGUUAUUUCUGCUCAAUGUAUCAUAAAUAGCCGCGGUACCCUGACCGUGCAAAGGUAGCAUAAUCAUUUGGCUUAUAAUUGAAGUCUAGUAUGAACGAAGUCAUGGGGGAAAACUCUAUUAAUGAUAGUGAAUGAAUUUACUUAUGAGGUGCAAAGUCCUCUCGAUAAAUAAUAGACGAGAAGACCCUAGAAAUUUGUAAGAUACGUUAAAAUCAUUUUUUGUUGGGGCAACAUAGUAGCAUUUAACCUACAGUAGUGACAUGUCAUGUUUUAGGAAGACAAAAUUACUCUAGGGAUAACAGCGUAAUUCUACAGAGUUUGCGACCUCGAUGUUGGACUAGGAAGCAAUCGCUUAGGA
RNAcentral lists this ribosomal RNA (738 nucleotides) under Amplirhagada sp. 'South Bongaree'. RNAcentral describes it as "partial 16S ribosomal RNA". The record is from RNAcentral. Lineage: Eukaryota; Metazoa; Mollusca; Gastropoda; Stylommatophora; Camaenidae.